RNAcentral lists this long non-coding RNA (1126 nucleotides) under Canis lupus familiaris (dog). RNAcentral describes it as "lncRNA (ENSCAFG00845027054.1)". The record is from RNAcentral. Lineage: Eukaryota; Metazoa; Chordata; Mammalia; Carnivora; Canidae.
CUCCCCCACGGCCCAGAAGGACCUGCCUGAGCCCCAGUGGGUUCUGAGCCCAGGGUGGCAGCCCGCUGUCUCCUCCUCCUUGCCCUGCCGGCCUGUUCCUACAGAAUGCUCCAGACUUCUCCUGGUCCAUUUCCCUGGGCUCUGUGAGGCCUGGCCAGCAGAGGGCACGGUCCUCUAUAUUCUGGAGACCGGAGGCUGAAGAGAGCAGCUUUGGGGACCUUUGCGGCUCUAACUCAGCCUCUCCAAACUGCAGGGAGCCACCGAGGAGCUGGGUGAGAGCUCGGGAGAUGAGGGUAUCCCGAGAUCCCGAGGGAAUUUCACAGAGCUGGCCCCUCCUCUGAUACGGGUCCUGCAGCAUGCCCCCCCCCCCCCCCCCCAGGCUGGGCACACAGAUGCUCCUCUGUCAUCAGUCCUGGCCUGGCCCGGUUCUUCUGUCCCAGGAACAGACCAGAGUCCUAGGACAGCCCCCCGCCCCCGGCCCGCGGGAGGGCAGCGGGAGAACUCAGGGCCAGGCCUGCGGGACUGUUUGCCUUCGCGGGCAGGGUGACGGGCAGCAGGUCGGGCAGUUUCAUGUUUCUGUUGACGGAUGCUGCUGAGCACCUCAUGACGUGCCAGCCACGGUGGCGAGCACGGGGUGAGCCCAAACACCACGACGGCCCGUGCCACAUGAGCUGUGCUGUCAGCUGGGAAGACACGUUCGACGCGGACUUUCAUGACGUGUCCAAAUUACAAAUGCGGCGCCCCCUUGCCGAGGCCUAAGUUGAACGCUUCCCGGUUCCACACACCUGCAGCCCUUUCAGCUCCAGGGAGGCUCCUUCCUGUCCAUCCUUACUGUUUCCAGCACCGCUUUCCGCUCACGUCCUGCGUGUCCCUCUGCUCUCUCUGUGUUGGGAGUGGACUCCGCAGAAAGGCAUUCCAUGUUGCGGGGCCUCGGAAUGUCUUGGAACUGAGCGGUCACUCAGGACGUGGUUUAUCUGUCCGGCUCCAGGGUUCCCAGCAGGGUCCCAAGGACAACAACGAUGAGCCAGGGAGAAGGCAAAAUGGGUUUAAAUAUGACAGUUUUUUUGGGGAAACGCCUGGGGGGGGGGGGGGGGCAGGAUGGAGCUGGUGCCGUAUCUCCACCUGA